AAAUGCGAUAAGUAGUGUGAAUUGCAGAAUUCAGUGAAUCAUCGAAUCUUUGAACGCACAUUGCGCCCUUUGGUAUUCCUUAGGGCAUGCCUGUUCGAGCGUCAUCUAAACCUUCAAGCCCUGCUUGGUGUUGGGUGCCUGUCCCGCCUCCGCGCGCGGACUCACCUCAAAUCCAUUGGCGGCCCCCGCGUCGGCCACGAGCGCAGCAGAAACGCGAACUGGUGAGCCCGUCCGGGCGGCUCCCAGAAGCUACACCCACCCAGUUUGACCUCGGAUCAGGUAGGGAUACCCGCUGAACUUAAGC
This 304-nucleotide unclassified non-coding RNA is filed under the name plant metagenome. RNAcentral's name for it is "partial contains 5.8S ribosomal RNA, internal transcribed spacer 2, and large subunit ribosomal RNA". The stretch from base 1 to 104 matches the Rfam family "5.8S ribosomal RNA", at positions 51 to 154 of the family's 154-position model. The record is from RNAcentral.